RNAcentral lists this ribosomal RNA (252 nucleotides) under uncultured bacterium. RNAcentral describes it as "partial 16S ribosomal RNA". It matches the Rfam family "Bacterial small subunit ribosomal RNA", at positions 524 to 776 of the family's 1533-position model. The record is from RNAcentral.
UACGUAGGGUCCGAGCGUUGUCCGGAAUUAUUGGGCGUAAAGGGCUCGUAGGCGGUUUGUCGCGUCGGGAGUGAAAUCAUCGGGCUUAACUCGGUGCUUGCUUUCGAUACGGGCAGACUAGAGGCAUGCAGGGGAGAACGGAAUUCCUGGUGUAGCGGUGAAAUGCGUAGAUAUCAGGAGGAACACCGGUGGCGAAGGCGGUUCUCUGGGCAUGUCCUGACGCUGAGGAGCGAAAGCGUGGGAGCGAACAGG